ACACGACUACAUUAGAUACCCCCGGUAGUCCCAGCCCUAAACGAUGCGCGUUAGGUGUAUCGGUGACCACGAGUCACCGAGGUGCCGAAGGGAAACCGUGAAACGUGCCGCCUGGGAAGUACGGUCGCAAGGCUGAAACUUAAAGGAAUUGGCGGGGGAGCACAACACGGGUGGAGCUUGCGGUUUAAUUGGAUUCAACGCCGGAAAUCUUACCGGGACCGACAGCAACAUGAAGGCCGAGCUGAAGACUUUGCCGGAUUAGCUG
This 265-nucleotide ribosomal RNA is filed under the name uncultured archaeon. Its description in RNAcentral is "partial 16S ribosomal RNA". It matches the Rfam family "Archaeal small subunit ribosomal RNA", at positions 717 to 982 of the family's 1478-position model. The record is from RNAcentral.